GUUAUGUUCUUGAAACCCAAAGAAUUUGGCGGUAAUUUAGUCUUUUCAGAGGAACCUGUUACAUAAUUGAUAAUCCACGAUUUUGUUUACUUAUAUUUGUAUAUCAAUUUUUAUACCGCCGUCAUAAGAAUAUUUUUUUAGAACGAAUUUUCUUGAUUUAUUAAUUAAAGUAUGUCAGGUCAAGGUGAAGUUUAUAUGUAAGUGUUAAUGGGUUACAUUGGAUUUAUCUAUAUGGAUAAUUAAUUUGUUUUUUAAUUUGAAGGUGGAUUUGAUAGUAAAUUGAUUAAUUUAAUUGUUUGAUGUUAGCUCUAAAUUAUGCACACA
RNAcentral lists this ribosomal RNA (324 nucleotides) under Protoneura capillaris. RNAcentral's name for it is "partial 12S ribosomal RNA". The record is from RNAcentral. Lineage: Eukaryota; Metazoa; Arthropoda; Insecta; Odonata; Coenagrionidae.